Odocoileus virginianus texanus is the source of this 990-nucleotide non-coding RNA. Lineage: Eukaryota; Metazoa; Chordata; Mammalia; Artiodactyla; Cervidae. The record is from RefSeq and is a predicted model, not a curated record.
GAAUCUUGCUAAUCUGAUUCUGGUGUGUCCCAGGUAUUAACCAUGGCCCUGUCAUAGCUGGUGUGAUUGGAGCUCAGAAGCCACAGUAUGACAUCUGGGGCAACACCGUCAACGUGGCCAGCAGGAUGGACAGCACCGGAGUCCUGGACAAAAUCCAGGUGACAGAGGAGACGAGCGUCAUCCUACAGACCCUGGGCUACACGUGCACGUGUCGGGGGAUCAUCAACGUGAAAGGAAAGGGGGACCUGAAGACCUACUUCGUCAACACAGAGAUGUCACGGUCCCUUUCUCAGAGCAACCUGACCUCCUGAAGCCUCGCCUUUGGUUCUGGUGAGAGGACUGUACCUUCGGGACGAUGACGAUGCACUUUCUGACUGCCACUCGCGUCCCUGUCUGUGGUGUGUGUGCGUGCUCUGUCCUGUCCUCUGGAGCCUCUGCGGACUCCUUCCUGUGACCUGGCGGCCUGCCGUUCGGUGUCUGACGUGUGCCAGGAUCGCCCUGCCACUUCCACUGUGCUUACUCCUAGCAGAAGGGAAAGGAGCGCGCGUUACCGCAGAAGAGCCUUCAGCGAAGCUGAUGGAGAGGGGAGGGGGAAACAGACAAAAAUUCUUAAGGCAAUAAAACUAGGGGAGGGGGGGUGUAUAUUAUCUUCCGGUGCAUGUUCUUUUCUGGAAAAUAUGGUAGCUCGCCAACCGCAUCCGCUAGUCUGAUACUAAAACACACAGUACUUGUGACUAAGUUGACUCUGUCACCCCACCUGGAAUCCGCCGUGUUCGCCCACGUGUCUCAUUGCAGUGACUGUCCACGGGCCCAGCCGGUUCCGGGGGCCCCCGUCACCCUGCUCCAUCGUGUUUUGUGCCAGCGACACCUCCCCAUCCAUCACCAGAAUUAGUUCUUACAACCUAGGACUAGUUUUGUACCAGACGCGUCUGAUGUUUUGAUGCCAUUGUCUUUUGUAAGGUUAAUUCAUUAAAAGUUUUAUGUACUUUG